Molecule: transfer RNA, 84 nt
Filed under: Gracilibacteraceae bacterium
Lineage: Bacteria; Bacillati; Bacillota; Clostridia; Eubacteriales; Gracilibacteraceae
Description: tRNA-Tyr
Rfam family: tRNA
About the family: Transfer RNA (tRNA) molecules are approximately 80 nucleotides in length. Their secondary structure includes four short double-helical elements and three loops (D, anti-codon, and T loops).
Source: RNAcentral
GGGUAGGUGGCCGAGUGGUUAAAGGCGGCAGACUGUAAAUCUGUUCCGAAAGGUACGGUGGUUCGAAUCCACCCCUGCCCACCA